This 390-nucleotide ribosomal RNA is filed under the name uncultured bacterium. RNAcentral describes it as "bacterial SSU rRNA". It matches the Rfam family "Bacterial small subunit ribosomal RNA", at positions 91 to 507 of the family's 1533-position model. The record is from RNAcentral.
GGGAGUGGCGGACGGGUGAGUACCACGUGGGUCAUCUACCUCCGGGUGAGGAAUACCGGCGAGAAAUCGCCGACAAUACCGCAUACGCUCGCGCAAUCGAGCAAAGCCGGAAACGGCGCCGGGAGAUGAGCCUGCGGCUGAUUAGCUAGCUGGUGGGGUAAAAGCCUACCAGGGCGACGAUCAGUAGCUGGUCUGAGAGGAUGAUCAGCCACAUUGGGACUGAGACACGGCCCAAACUCCUACGGGAGGCAGCAGUGGGGAAUCUUGCGCAAUGGUCGAAAGACUGACGCAGCCAUGCCGCGUGAAUGAUGAAGGUCUUAGGAUUGUAAAAUUCUUUCAGCAGGGACGAUAAUGACGGUACCUGCAGAAGAAGCCCCGGCUAACUUCGUG